This 254-nucleotide ribosomal RNA is filed under the name uncultured bacterium. Its description in RNAcentral is "partial 16S ribosomal RNA". It matches the Rfam family "Bacterial small subunit ribosomal RNA", at positions 524 to 776 of the family's 1533-position model. The record is from RNAcentral.
UACGUAGGUGACCAGCGUUGUCCGGAUUUAUUGGGCGUAAAGAGCUCGUAGGCGGUUUGGUAAGUCUGGUGUGAAAUCUCCACGCUCAACGUGGAGGGGCCACCCGAUACUGCCAUGAUUGGAGUCCGGUAGAGGAGUGUGGAAUUCCCGGUGUAGCGGUGAAAUGCGCAGAUAUCGGGAGGAACACCCGUAGCGAAGGCGGCACUCUGGGCCGGAACUGACGCUGAGGAGCGAAAGCGUGGGGAGCAAACAGG